Molecule: long non-coding RNA, 907 nt
Filed under: Lotus japonicus
Lineage: Eukaryota; Viridiplantae; Streptophyta; Magnoliopsida; Fabales; Fabaceae
Description: long non-coding RNA (LJAP_LNC001196)
Source: RNAcentral
AUACUACAUAAACCUAUUUUGGGUGAUCAAUAAUGUCUUUGAAGUUUGAUCUACAUUAGUGGAUUGAUAAAUUAAGGUCAAUGCCCUUUCUUAUUCCAUAAUUAUCCAUUUUAAGACGGUCAACCUCUCCCCAUUUAUAUGCUCCCAAUUGAAUCCCCAACCAGAAUUUCAAGUCUAAAGGUCUAAAUUAAACUUCCUCCUCCCUUGCUCCUCCAACACAAACCAUCCAUUUGGCCCAAAUUCUAUAAAAAAAAAACUCAUAUUUCUCUGUCUCUCUCAUAUGUUCCACCACAAAUUCCCCUAAACUCUCUCACAUCCCUCAACGGCUCAACCUAUAAAUCACCUUCCCCCAUGCAAACCUAUCUUUCACCACAUCCUCUAGAGCUGCUGCAGUAUUUCUCUAAUCCGUUAGAGAAGUGCUGCAAUAUUAACUAAAAAAGAACUACAAAUACAAAAACAACAACACAAGAAGAUGGCUCGCCAGGCUUUUGUUCUUUCUCUCCUCAUUGUUGCCAUUGUUGGUGUGGCUAUGGCCAGGGAAGCCCCAUCAGCAUCACCAACGACAUCACCAGUUCCAUCCUCAGCACCAAAGGCAUCACAAGCUCCAUCUUCAUCAGCAGCUUCCCCCAAAGCCUCAGCAGCUCCAUCUACAUCCGAGUCUUCCCCUGCCUCUUCCCCUGCCACAGAGGAGCCUUCAUCUCCCCCUGCUCCAGCCAGUGAGGCCAUCGAGUUCGGCGCCCCUUCACCGGGACCUGCCGCUGGACCCGCUGCUGAUGCGCCUGCACCCGCUCCUAAAGCCAGCGGUGCUUCUGCCCUUGGAUUCUCUGGUGCUGUUGCUCUUGCCGCAGUUGCUGGCUUCUUCGCCUUCUAAGAUGGUUGUUGUUUGUGUCAUGAGCUUAUGAGAGGG